This 494-nucleotide ribosomal RNA is filed under the name uncultured bacterium. RNAcentral's name for it is "partial 16S ribosomal RNA". It matches the Rfam family "Bacterial small subunit ribosomal RNA", at positions 28 to 507 of the family's 1533-position model. The record is from RNAcentral.
GACGAACGCUGGCGGCGUGCUUAACACAUGCAAGUCGAACGGUGAAGCGCCUUCCUUUUUGGUGGGUGUGGAUGAGUGGCGAACGGGUGAGUAACACGUGAGUAACCUGCCCCCUUCUUCUGGAUAACCGCAUGAAAGUGUGGCUAAUACGGGAUAUUCUGGGUCUGUCGCAUGAUGGGUCUGGGAAAGAUAUUGUUUCGGGGGGGGAUGGGCUCGCGGCCUAUCAGCUUGUUGGUGGGGUGAUGGCCUACCAAGGCGGUGACGGGUAGCCGGCCUGAGAGGGUGGACGGUCACACUGGGACUGAGACACGGCCCAGACUCCUACGGGAGGCAGCAGUGGGGAAUAUGGCACAAUGGGCGCAAGCCUGAUGCAGCGACGCCGCGUGAGGGAUGGAGGCCUUCGGGUUGUGAACCUCUUUCGCCAGUGAAGCAGGCCUGCCUCGUUUGUGGGUGGGUUGACGGUAGCUGGAUAAGAAGCGCCGGCUAACUACGUG